RNAcentral lists this ribosomal RNA (788 nucleotides) under uncultured bacterium. RNAcentral describes it as "bacterial SSU rRNA". It matches the Rfam family "Bacterial small subunit ribosomal RNA", at positions 61 to 823 of the family's 1533-position model. The record is from RNAcentral.
GUCGAACGAGACUUUUUAUUUGAUGCUUGCAUCUUUUAAAAAGUUGAGUGGCGAACGGGUGAGUAACACGUGGGUAACCUGCCUUAAAGUGGGGGAUAACACUUGGAAACAGGUGCUAAUACCGCAUAACCAUCAAAACCACCUGGUUUUGAUGUUAAAGAUGGUUCUGCUAUCGCUUUAAGAUGGACCCGCGGCGUAUUAGCUAGUUGGUGAGGUAACGGCUUACCAAGGCAAUGAUACGUAGCCGAACUGAGAGGUUGAUCGGCCACAUUGGGACUGAGACACGGCCCAAACUCCUACGGGAGGCAGCAGUAGGGAAUCUCCCACAAUGGACGAAAGUCUGAUGGAGCAACGCCGCGUGAGUGAAGAAGGUUUUCGGAUCGUAAAACUCUGUUGUCAGAGAAGAACGUGUGUGAGAGUAACUGUUCACGCAGUGACGGUAUCUGACCAGAAAGUCACGGCUAACUACGUGCCAGCAGCCGCGGUAAUACGUAGGUGGCAAGCGUUGUCCGGAUUUAUUGGGCGUAAAGGGAACGCAGGCGGUCUUUUAAGUCUGAUGUGAAAGCCUUCGGCUUAACCGAAGUCGGGCAUUGGAAACUGGGAGACUUGAGUGCAGAAGAGGAGAGUGGAACUCCAUGUGUAGCGGUGAAAUGCGUAGAUAUAUGGAAGAACACCAGUGGCGAAAGCGGCUCUCUGGUCUGUAACUGACGCUGAGGUUCGAAAGCGUGGGUAGCAAACAGGAUUAGAUACCCUGGUAGUCCACGCCGUAAACGAUGAAUGCUAAGUGU